This is a non-coding RNA of Biomphalaria pfeifferi, 1705 nucleotides long. The record is from the annotation of a GenBank genome assembly. NCBI's taxonomy places the organism in Eukaryota, Metazoa, Mollusca, Gastropoda, Planorbidae.
AAAGAGUGUGAAAGUUUUUAUUCCAUUAAACAUGUUAUUUGAAUCAUAUUUGUAUCAAAUGGUAACAGUGAUCUAGAAGUUAAAAAAAUCUAGCUAUAGCUCUUUUAAUAUCUAGGUUAGACACAAGACGUAAACAUUCAUGAUGUACUAAAAUGAAGGAGCUUUCUACAACACAGUCUAGACUCCAUACAUAGGCUGUCAGAACAAAACAAACAACUGUUAAUGAACAUAAUAGAGGGUUUGCAGUCCAAAAAAAAAAGCAAGGUGUACCUAAACUGUGAAGGGGUGGUAGCCAUUAUUUAGAGGGGGUGGUACCCUAAUUAUGAGGGGGUGUUACCAUUAUUAGAGAGGUUGGUAGUCAUGAUUAUAGAAGGUAGUACCCAUAUCAAGAGGUGGGGGUUUCAGCUAAACUGUGAGGGGUGGUAGCCAGGAACCAAAUAAAUGUGAGAGGGUACUUUUGAGUCAGAGUGGAUUGUAUCCAAAAAGUGAGGGGUAUGCUCCAUGAAGGGUACAAGUGGUGAGGUUGGAAAUAGAAAAACAAAAGACUAAAAAGACAAAGGAAAUGUCAACAUGCACAAGUUUUAGUUUUGAAUGAUUGGAUCAUGUCCCCACUUCUUCUCAAAAUUCAACUGAAGUGUUGUGUCUCUAGCUGAAAUUGGAAUGACGUUUCUAUACAAACUUGGUUGCAUGUGUGUAAGCGUAUGUUGUGAGGUUCGCUAACGUUUAGGUAUGGUCAGAUGUGUCCACUGUCCAGUAUAUCGAGUCUAGACUGUGGUAUAAAAGCACGCCCAAACAAGAGUAAUAUCACAAAGUAGACAACAACAAGUCAGUGCAUCUAUAGAGUUUUUCUCGUACUAGAGAGAUUUCAGUUUUGACCAAUCUAGUUCAAUCUUAGUGUCCAAGCUGGAACCCGAUCUAAGCUUUCAAACUGGAUGUUACUUUGAAAUGAGCGAAUAUUGAAUUGUCUUUUAUGUGCUUCAUUUAGACUGAAACACAAAAUAAAUAUGGUUUUAUACGUGUAUAGUAAACGUCCCUUUUAGACCUUGCGAUCAGUGUGGCAAAUAAGGUAAAGCGCAUCUGUUUGUAUGGCCUAGUCAAGAGGGUGUCAUGUGGCCAUCACAACAACCUUGACUUUCCCCAACCUUUUUUUUUUCAUGGUAACAAGUAAAGCUGGGUGGACUUACAGAUGUUAUAAAAUGCCGAAGUAUAAAGUCAUUGUCCUAACAGAAUUCAAACCUAUACCCUUUUAAGUGCUCUAUCCAGGGCCGGUCCUAGCAAUUGCGGGGCCCUAUGCGAAACUGAUUGCGCGGGGCCUAGUCUGUGCGGGAAUAAGGAUAAUAAGUGAAAUUUAAGAUUUUGUAUAAGAAAAAAAGUUCGACUUUACUAAGUUAAAAAUUGCGAUCUUUACUUUAAGAACCUUGUAACAAAUGGCAUAUUUAUAUGCUAGUGACUAUAAAAGCAAAUAAAGUAUUGGAACUUCCGAUUAAGGUUUAAAUUCGCCAGAUUAUUACACGAAAGCUGACAAUGCUUUUUUUCUUUUAUCACGCGUAGGAUUGGCGUUUUCCGCAAUUAAUGACACUCACAAAUGACAAUUUAGUCUAUUUUUCUGGAGAUUUUUAAUAGUUUUCAGAAUAUUUUAAUAAAUUCAGGAGAUUUUCUUGAGUUUUUCGUUUAUAUUUUGCAAUUUAAUAAUUACAUCCUGAAU